This is a long non-coding RNA of Girardinichthys multiradiatus, 1422 nucleotides long. RefSeq lists it as uncharacterized. The transcript is spliced from 2 exons. NCBI's taxonomy places the organism in Eukaryota, Metazoa, Chordata, Actinopteri, Cyprinodontiformes, Goodeidae. The record is from RefSeq and is a predicted model, not a curated record.
CGGGCAAAGCAAACACUGCACCUGUAAAACCAAGAUAACAACCCGUUACUGCACCUCUUGCAUAACAUGAUACCAUGACUAUAACACUACUGCAUAGUAUAGGCUAUAGACCUUUUAAUAAACACUUUGAAUGUACAUUACCUUGUUAGGUGGCAUCAAAUCGAAAUAUUCCCACACUUGGGAACGCUUCCUAGAUGGUUGCUCCAUGACAGAAUAAUCCAGCAAAUCUCAGAAUAUCCAAAAACAAGAUCUGUUUGUAACGUAUAAAACGUGUUGAACAGGGAUGUGAACCGGGGCUUGAGAGCAUCUUAAAUACACUGAAUCGCGCCAGAUGUUUGAAACUCCGCCAAUCAACUCGAAGCAGUCAGCUGACUCGGUCUGAAUGAAGCAGUGAAGUGGUUCACACGUCAUCGGUGACGUCUCAUGACGCAAGCUCCGCCCCACUGCUUCACCAUAGCAACCCUGUAGAGUUUUUGAAGCGUUGUUUGAAGCCUCGGUGUUAGAGGUGACAUCACUACCUCAGCCUAGCCACUGGUUUAUUCAGUCUGAGGACAACCUCGUGUUCCGGCCCAUAAACUGUCUGGAUCACUUCCUCUUCUGGAUUCUGAACCUCGUUCCCAGGCUGAGAAGUGGUACUUCGGUAAAGUUAGAAAGAUAUUCACAGUUUCGGCUUUUCCGGAUCAAUAACUCAUCAGCGGAACAUUGCCUCUAGAAAACCAACACCUCUCUGCAACCACAGCAAGGCAGACAGUGAGCUACAAUCAUCUUUUCUUCAAAACGAGACUUGCAUUGGCCUCUAUGCAGAGAUCGCUGCUCCUCUAAUGCGCAGAGACCGUCUGCAAAUUGCAACUCCAGAAAAUAUAUGAUGGAGAAAUAUUCAAUAAAGUCGCCAAGGAGAGGUGUAUUGUCAUUGAAAUCAUUGUAUGUGAUCUGACGUUUUUCAUUCUACAUUUCUUGGAUUGGAAAUUAAUACAAAAAAAAAAAAGGAAUUUCCCAAAGACACCUAAAUAGCCAAAUAUUCAGUAAAACAUGGUCAAUAACUUCACUUUAGCAUGUUGUAGUGCCAUCAAACUCAUAGCACACAGGGAGAGCAUCAUCUUGAAUCUUUUUAAUAAACAUAACAUUGCCUUUAUAUAUGCAGACAUGCUCUUUUAAUAAAUCUGUAUUACAACCAAAUAAUUAACUUUCCCUUUACUGUUUGCAGUGUGUCAUAACCUGAAAUCACUCAACAUUACAUCUUUGAGUUUUAACAAAUUUUAUUUCCCACACUAUCAAGCAUAAAUAAUUCAGUAUUUGGUUACAGUCAGCAAACGUUACCAAGAGACUCUCUAGUUAUUGCACAACACACAGUACCAAGGGGUGUCAUGUCAAUGCAUUCAGUGUGGAACCAUCGCUCACAGGUUUCACACUGUAUCUACAACA